Molecule: ribosomal RNA, 723 nt
Filed under: Vibrio sp. 12D02
Lineage: Bacteria; Pseudomonadati; Pseudomonadota; Gammaproteobacteria; Vibrionales; Vibrionaceae
Description: bacterial SSU rRNA
Rfam family: Bacterial small subunit ribosomal RNA
Source: RNAcentral
ACGCUGGCGGCAGGCCUAACACAUGCAAGUCGAGCGGCAGCGACAACAUUGACCCUUCGGGUGAUUUGUUGGGCGGCGAGCGGCGGACGGGUGAGUAAUGCCUAGGAAAUUGCCCUGAUGUGGGGGAUAACCAUUGGAAACGAUGGCUAAUACCGCAUAAUCUCUUCGGAGCAAAGAGGGGGACCUUCGGGCCUCUCGCGUCAGGAUAUGCCUAGGUGGGAUUAGCUAGUUGGUGAGGUAAUGGCUCACCAAGGCGACGAUCCCUAGCUGGUCUGAGAGGAUGAUCAGCCACACUGGAACUGAGACACGGUCCAGACUCCUACGGGAGGCAGCAGUGGGGAAUAUUGCACAAUGGGCGCAAGCCUGAUGCAGCCAUGCCGCGUGUAUGAAGAAGGCCUUCGGGUUGUAAAGUACUUUCAGUCGUGAGGAAGGCRUUAGYGUUAAUAGCRCURKMGUUUGACGUUAGCGACAGAAGAAGCACCGGCUAACUCCGUGCCAGCAGCCGCGGUAAUACGGAGGGUGCGAGCGUUAAUCGGAAUUACUGGGCGUAAAGCGCAUGCAGGUGGUUCGUUAAGUCAGAUGUGAAAGCCCGGGGCUCAACCUCGGAAUUGCAUUUGAAACUGGCGGACUAGAGUACUGUAGAGGGGGGUAGAAUUUCAGGUGUAGCGGUGAAAUGCGUAGAGAUCUGAAGGAAUACCGGUGGCGAAGGCGGCCCCCUGGACA